AUUGAACGCUGGCGGCAGGCCUAACACAUGCAAGUCGAGCGGAUGAAGGGAACUUGCUCCUGGAUUCAGCGGCGGACGGGUGAGUAAUGCCUAGGAAUCUGCCUGGUAGUGGGGUAUAACGGCCGGAAACGGGCGCUAAUACCGCAUACGUCCUGAGGGAGAAAGUGGGGGAUCUUCGGACCUCACGCUAUCAGAUGAGCCUAGGUCGGAUUAGCUAGUUGGUGGGGUAAAGGCCUACCAAGGCGACGAUCCGUAACUGGUCUGAGAGGAUGAUCAGUCACACUGGAACUGAGACACGGUCCAGACUCCUACGGGAGGCAGCAGUGGGGAAUAUUGGACAAUGGGCGAAAGCCUGAUCCAGCCAUGCCGCGUGUGUGAAGAAGGUCUUCGGAUUGUAAAGCACUUUAAGUUGGGAGGAAGGGCAGUAAGUUAAUACCUUGCUGUUUUGACGUUACCAACAGAAUAAGCACCGGCUAACUUCGUG
This 484-nucleotide ribosomal RNA is filed under the name uncultured bacterium. RNAcentral's name for it is "partial 16S ribosomal RNA". It matches the Rfam family "Bacterial small subunit ribosomal RNA", at positions 30 to 507 of the family's 1533-position model. The record is from RNAcentral.